ACGGAGGGGGCUAGCGUUGUUCGGAAUUACUGGGCGUAAAGGGCGCGUAGGCGGUUUGGUAAGUUAGGCGUGAAAGGCCCGGGCUCAACCCGGGAACUGCGCUUAAGACUGCCGGGCUGUGAGUCCGGGAGAGGAUGGCGGAAUUCCCAGUGUAGAGGUGAAAUUCGUAGAUAUUGGGAAGAACACCAGUGGCGAAGGCGGCCAUCUGGCCCGGUACUGACGCUGAGGCGCGAAAGCGUGGGGAGCAAACAG
Molecule: ribosomal RNA, 252 nt
Filed under: uncultured prokaryote
Description: partial 16S ribosomal RNA
Rfam family: Bacterial small subunit ribosomal RNA
Source: RNAcentral